RNAcentral lists this ribosomal RNA (481 nucleotides) under uncultured bacterium. RNAcentral's name for it is "partial 16S ribosomal RNA". It matches the Rfam family "Bacterial small subunit ribosomal RNA", at positions 30 to 507 of the family's 1533-position model. The record is from RNAcentral.
AUUGAACGCUGGCGGCAUGCUUUACACAUGCAAGUCGAACGGUAACAGGCCGCAAGGUGCUGACGAGUGGCGAACGGGUGAGUAAUGCAUCGGAACGUGCCCAGUCGUGGGGGAUAACUACUCGAAAGAGUAGCUAAUACCGCAUACGAUCUAUGGAUGAAAGCGGGGGACCGUAAGGCCUCGCGCGAUUGGAGCGGCCGAUGUCAGAUAGGUAGUUGGUGGGGUAAAGGCUCACCAAGCCAACGAUCGGUAGCUGGUCUGAGAGGACGACCAGCCACACUGGGACUGAGACACGGCCCAGACUCCUACGGGAGGCAGCAGUGGGGAAUUUUGGACAAUGGGCGCAAGCCUGAUCCAGCAAUGCCGCGUGCAGGAAGAAGGCCUUCGGGUUGUAAACUGCUUUUGUACGGAACGAAACGGCUCUGGUUAAUACCCGGGGCUAAUGACGGUACCGGAAGAAUAAGCACCGGCUAACUACGUG